Molecule: long non-coding RNA, 1093 nt
Filed under: Cucumis sativus (cucumber)
Lineage: Eukaryota; Viridiplantae; Streptophyta; Magnoliopsida; Cucurbitales; Cucurbitaceae
Description: long non-coding RNA (CSAT_LNC001913)
Source: RNAcentral
GCAAUUUUCCUAUUGUUGUUAGUAUAUGACAAACUGUUAAUAUCUCGUUUCAAAAAUAACUAUUGUUCAUUGCACAAAAAAUUUAGAGAAUUGUGUUUUGUGGAUUUGAACUAUUUGUAUGUAUUGUGUUUGCGUUGAUUUGAUGUAAUGUGAUUUAUUCUCUAGUUCUUGAUUAUCUGAUGUUUGUUGAUCUCUAAUACUUGAUUCCUCUGAAGUUCACCAAUAUUUAGUACACUACAAGAAAGGGGGACUCUCCCGACGCAUAAAAUCGUCGGAAGAUAUUUGAAAUGCGUCGGAAGCGUCGGGACAUGCGCUGGAUAAUGUGUCGGGAGAGAAAUUUUCGAUGCACUUGCAUCGAAAAUUUCUAAACAUCUCCCAAUGUUGAAUGAACGUCGAAGGAUGAUAUUAAUACGGCAUCGGGAGAUGUCGCGAAACUCCCGAUGCACAACGAAAACGUCAGGAAUAGCGCCCUAUUCCCGACGCGAUUAGUGACAUGUUGGAAAUCCCUAAACUAUUUUCGACAUUGCGACACCACGUCGGAGGAAGGCGUAACGUACAAUUAAUGAUCUACUCUUCCUCCGACGCAACACUGUAGACGUCGGGAAUAGGUGCACAUUUCCCGACACACCUGGCACCACGUCGGAGGAAGGCCAAACGAUACAAUUAAUUGUCCACCAUCUUUCGAUGCUACACUUUCCACGUCGGGAAUAGUGACCCAUUUUCCGACGUACCUCACACCGCGUCGGAGGAAUCCUAAACCUAUUACAGUCAGUUUUGACGUUAAUGUGUCUGCGUCGAAAGAAAUACCUUCCUCUGACAUGCACCAAGAUGCGUCGGAAAACACCGGCUUCUACCGACGUCAUGUUUCUUGUCAAGUUUUCCUGCGUCAGGAAACUCUCGAUUUCUUGUAGUGGUACUUGAUCCUUUGCAAGAAUUCUCUCCUCCUUUAUUCAUAAACUUAUCUUAUGGGUUUGUGCUUGGUUGGUUCAUGUACAAAACCCCCCUAAAUCCAACCAUGCGCGUGAGACUUUUAGUCUAAAUUACACGUUCAUUGUAUGCCCUUUUCAAAAUCAAUUAUUUACUAGCCUUUAAA